CAGUCGCCGCGGGAAUACGAAGGGUGCAAGCGUUAAUCGGAAUUACUGGGCGUAAAGCGUGCGUAGGCGGUGAGUUAAGUCUGCUGUGAAAUCCCCGGGCUCAACCUGGGAAUGGCAAUGGAUACUGGCAAGCUAGAGUGUGUCAGAGGAUGGUGGAAUUCCCGGUGUAGCGGUGAAAUGCGUAGAGAUCGGGAGGAACAUCAGUGGCGAAGGCGGCCAUCUGGGACAACACUGACGCUGAGGCACGAAAGCGUGGGGAGCAAACAGGAUUAGAUACCCCUGUAGUCCCUGUCUCUUAUAC
This 301-nucleotide ribosomal RNA is filed under the name uncultured bacterium. RNAcentral describes it as "partial 16S ribosomal RNA". It matches the Rfam family "Bacterial small subunit ribosomal RNA", at positions 509 to 807 of the family's 1533-position model. The record is from RNAcentral.